Non-coding RNA from Struthio camelus australis, 1313 nucleotides. The record is from RefSeq and is a predicted model, not a curated record. NCBI's taxonomy places the organism in Eukaryota, Metazoa, Chordata, Aves, Struthioniformes, Struthionidae.
GGCAUUUCUAAAAUAAGGAUCCCGCCAGGACUGGGGGCAGCUGAGAAAUUGCCCCUCUGUGUAUGAGUCUCAGGAACAUGUCUGCAAAACAGCAAGACAUCCUAGAAGAGCUAUGGGCCACCUAACAGGCUUCUAAUGUGCUAAGUAAUUGUCCUGAUAUCCACUCCAAAGGCACAGUUCAUUUAGGCCAAUUAAUCAAGUGAAAAUACUACAGUUGGAACACUGGAGACAGAAAAGGGAAUUAGUGUCAUUACAGAAGGAGAUUGUCAUCUAUUGUCUAGAGAACCCACUUCUGAAUACACUUCGGCACAACAUCAUGAAUGAAAACCUAGCUUAACAGAGUACAAAGUGACAGGAAGCUGAAGAAGGACUGGACAGAUCCUAAUGAGUCCUAUCAAUACCAAAGAAAGAUUUCCAGUAAAGAAAGGGAAGUCUGAUACGUUGAUUCUUCUCUGAGAUGGCUUCUUCAGGACACCUCUCUUGCAGAAACACUCCUUCUUAGACUACAGCUGAGCUGGGCCACAUGUGAACUGCUGCCCUCUGAGAAGAGGAGGAAGGAAAUCAUACAUUAUGUACAGCUUUCUAGGCCUCUCUUGAUGAACUUUGUGUAUGAAUCAUCAGAGUAUGACAGCAGCCUGAUGGGGACUAGAGACUGGCAUCUGUCAAAACUUGGUUUCCUCUUUCUGAAGUUGCUCAUCGACAUCUGUAAGCAAUAUUUUUAUGGGCCUGCAAACAAUUAUGCUUUUGUUUGGUGGAGCUAUAUUGGAAGAACCCUUUUGCUGGAAAGUGUCAGGACAGUCCAAUUAAAGCUGCUUACUUUCAUCACUUCUGGGAAAGAACUGUCUGGGUCCUGGCUUAAGGAAGAGUGGAAAAACUGUCCUUCCAGCAAGUUUUGAGGAAUUGCUUUCUGAAAUUGUCCCAAACACAAUGAAUCCAUCAGUCAUCACUUUAUAGCUUUCCAGCUUCAUAAAGACUUUGUUCCUCAGUCAAAUACAGAGGAAAUUUUGUUAAAGAAUUGAGGUUUUGCUGCAGCUUUCACAUGUCUUAUUGUUCUGUGUUGUUCACCGCCCCCAGUCUCAGCCUUGCAAAUAAAAUAUCUUUCCCUGCUAUAAAGUUAGCAGUUCCUUUUCCAGAGAGUCAGCUGUUGGAAAGAUGGAUUUAAGAGUGGGACACAGGUAACUUUGGAUUCCACUUCCAUCUCUGCAAUCAUCUUCCUGUUUUAUGUGGCUGUAACUUCUUGUUGCCUCAGUUCCUAAUCCUAUCUCAUUAUCUUAUAUAUGAACUGUUAAUUACAUGCAUUCAAACAUCUGAAA